UGGGGUGUAGCACAGAGGUAGAGCACUUGCUUAGCAUGCUCCAGGCCCUGAGUUCAACUCCCAGUACCACAA
RNAcentral lists this transfer RNA (72 nucleotides) under Ictidomys tridecemlineatus (thirteen-lined ground squirrel). RNAcentral describes it as "Spermophilus tridecemlineatus (thirteen-lined ground squirrel) tRNA". It matches the Rfam family "tRNA". Rfam says of the family: Transfer RNA (tRNA) molecules are approximately 80 nucleotides in length. Their secondary structure includes four short double-helical elements and three loops (D, anti-codon, and T loops). Further hydrogen bonds mediate the characteristic L-shaped molecular structure. tRNAs have two regions of fundamental functional importance: the anti-codon, which is responsible for specific mRNA codon recognition, and the 3' end, to which the tRNAs corresponding amino acid is attached (by aminoacyl-tRNA synthetases). tRNAs cope with the degeneracy of the genetic code in two manners: having more than one tRNA (with a specific anti-codon) for a particular amino acid; and 'wobble' base-pairing, i.e. permitting non-standard base-pairing at the 3rd anti-codon position. Lineage: Eukaryota; Metazoa; Chordata; Mammalia; Rodentia; Sciuridae. The record is from Rfam by way of RNAcentral.